GCCUCCGUGGCCGAGUGGGUGUCACACUGGGCUUGCACGCCAGGGGUCCCGGGUUCGAUUCCCGGCGGGGUCG
Molecule: transfer RNA, 73 nt
Filed under: Diaphorina citri (Asian citrus psyllid)
Lineage: Eukaryota; Metazoa; Arthropoda; Insecta; Hemiptera; Psyllidae
Rfam family: tRNA
About the family: Transfer RNA (tRNA) molecules are approximately 80 nucleotides in length. Their secondary structure includes four short double-helical elements and three loops (D, anti-codon, and T loops).
Source: Rfam by way of RNAcentral